AUUGAACGCUGGCGGCAGGCCUAACACAUGCAAGUCGAGCGGAUGAAGGGAGCUUGCUCCUGGAUUCAGCGGCGGACGGGUGAGUAAUGCCUAGGAAUCUGCCUGGUAGUGGGGGCUAACGUCCGGAAACGGGCGCUAAUACCGCAUACGUCCUUAGUGAGAAAGGGGGGGAUCUUCGGACCUCACGCUAUUAGAUGAGCCUAGGUCGGAUUAGCUAGUUGGUGGGGUAAAGGCCUACCAAGGCGACGAUCCGUAACUGGUCUGAGAGGAUGAUCAGUCACACUGGAACUGAGACACGGUCCAGACUCCUACGGGAGGCAGCAGUGGGGAAUAUUGGACAAUGGGCGAAAGCCUGAUCCAGCCAUGCCGCGUGUGUGAAGAAGGUCUUCGGAUUGUAAAGCACUUUAAGUUGGGAGGAAGGGCAGUAAGUUAAUACCUUGCUGUUUUGACGUUACCAACAGAAUAAGCAACGGCUAACUUCGUG
This 484-nucleotide ribosomal RNA is filed under the name uncultured bacterium. RNAcentral's name for it is "partial 16S ribosomal RNA". It matches the Rfam family "Bacterial small subunit ribosomal RNA", at positions 30 to 507 of the family's 1533-position model. The record is from RNAcentral.